CCAUGAGAAAUAUUUUUUUAAAGGACGAGAUUUGAGGGGGAUUGAGCUGGCCUCUCGGGGCAAGUGCUCGGUCCUCUGCUCAAUCCAUCUACCCCUGUGCACCUAUUGUGGGUACUAUGUCGCGGAAGGGGGGCUGGCUAACGGCCUUUCGGAUGCGCAUAUACUCAUGUUUUACACACUACGCAUGUCCUAGAAUGUCUUUUUUUGCGAUAAUCGCAUGUAAUACAACUUUCAACAACGGAUCUCUUGGCUCUCGCAUCGAUGAAGAACGCAGCGAAAUGCGAUAAGUAAUGUGAAUUGCAGAAUUCAGUGAAUCAUCGAAUCUUUGAACGCACCUUGCGCUCCUUGGUAUUCCGAGGAGCAUGCCUGUUUGAGUGUCAUGAAUCUCUCAAUUGCUCUGGCUUUGUUGACAGAGCAGUUGGACUUGGGGGCUUGCCGGCCUAGUCGGCUUCCCUUGAAUGCAUUAGCUUGGGUCUUGACCGCAAGGAUCCUCGGUGUGAUAAUUAUCUACGCCGUGACAACUUGUGGCGCGUGUGACCGCACCCCUCGGGUGGCGUGUGACCGGACCGCUAAAGCUUACAAUCGUCCUCGGACAACUUCUUGACAUCUGACCUCAAAUCAGGUAGGACUACCCGCUGAACUUAAGCAUAUCAAUAAGCGGAGGAGAUCAUUACCGAGUUUUGAAAGGGGGAUUGAGCUGGCCUCCUGGGGCAAGUGCUCGGUCCUCUGCUCAAUCAUCUACCUGUGCACUAUUGUGGGUACUAUGUCCGGAAGGGGGGCUGGCUUACGGCCUUUCGGAAGGCGCAUAAUACGCAGUUUUCUACAUCCGCACAAAGAUGUUUUUUU
This 846-nucleotide ribosomal RNA is filed under the name fungal endophyte. Its description in RNAcentral is "eukaryotic LSU rRNA". The stretch from base 227 to 380 matches the Rfam family "5.8S ribosomal RNA". The record is from RNAcentral. Lineage: Eukaryota; Fungi.